GCGGGAGUCCCAUAGCGGCAAUUGGGCGAGGUUUAGGACCUCGUGGCUUAGUGCCUUCGGGGGUUCGAGUCCUCCCUCCCGCA
Molecule: transfer RNA, 83 nt
Filed under: archaeon
Lineage: Archaea
Description: tRNA-Leu
Rfam family: tRNA
About the family: Transfer RNA (tRNA) molecules are approximately 80 nucleotides in length.
Source: RNAcentral